RNAcentral lists this transfer-messenger RNA (407 nucleotides) under Candidatus Yonathbacteria bacterium RIFOXYC1_FULL_52_10. It matches the Rfam family "transfer-messenger RNA". From Rfam's summary of the family: Bacterial tmRNA, also known as 10Sa RNA or SsrA, is named for its dual tRNA and mRNA-like properties. RNAcentral also lists the same sequence under 2 other names. Lineage: Bacteria; Candidatus Yonathiibacteriota. The record is from RNAcentral.
GGGGAUGCACGGCAUCGACAAGAAGAUCGAUCGCGAAAACGCGCGACGCCGAGAGCCGACGAUCUCGUAAAAUCAUCGGAAAAACGAUACCUGCCAACAAUUUGGUAGCAAAGGCAAAGAACGUUGUCUCUCCAUACUUCGGUAUGGGAAGCUUCGCUCCGGCAUACGCUUUAGCGUAACGCCCCCGUUCCCUCUGUGUUUGAUCUGAGGCACAGAACGGAGCGUCAUUCAUCAGGUGUAGCGCAUGUGGCUGUUCCGACACACGCGCGAAACAAAGGAACUAUGGCACAGUGAAGUUUUGCACGCUUCCUAUUCACUGAGUCGAGACACCAAGAAACGCGCUACGCAUCGUAGACACGUUUUCGGUUCCUUCUUGCACGCGAGUUCGACUCUCGCCAUCUCCACUC